Molecule: ribosomal RNA, 755 nt
Filed under: uncultured bacterium
Lineage: Bacteria
Description: bacterial SSU rRNA
Rfam family: Bacterial small subunit ribosomal RNA
Source: RNAcentral
GGCACUUCGGUGCUAGUGGCAGACGGGUGAGUAACGCGUGGGAACGUGCCUUUCGGUUCGGAAUAAUCCAGGGAAACUUGGACUAAUACCGGAUACGCCCUUCGGGGGAAAGAUUUAUCGCCGAAAGAUCGGCCCGCGUCUGAUUAGCUAGUUGGUGAGGUAAAGGCUCACCAAGGCGACGAUCAGUAGCUGGUCUGAGAGGAUGAUCAGCCACAUUGGGACUGAGACACGGCCCAAACUCCUACGGGAGGCAGCAGUGGGGAAUAUUGGACAAUGGGCGCAAGCCUGAUCCAGCCAUGCCGCGUGAGUGAUGAAGGCCUUAGGGUUGUAAAGCUCUUUUGUCCGGGAAGAUAAUGACUGUACCGGAAGAAUAAGCCCCGGCUAACUUCGUGCCAGCAGCCGCGGUAAUACGAAGGGGGCUAGCGUUGCUCGGAAUCACUGGGCGUAAAGGGCGCGUAGGCGGACUCUUAAGUCGGAGGUGAAAGCCCAGGGCUCAACCCUGGAAUUGCCUUCGAUACUGGGAGUCUUGAGUUCGGAAGAGGUUGGUGGAACUGCGAGUGUAGAGGUGAAAUUCGUAGAUAUUCGCAAGAACACCGGUGGCGAAGGCGGCCAACUGGUCCGAAACUGACGCUGAGGCGCGAAAGCGUGGGGAGCAAACAGGNNNAGAUACCCUGGUAGUCCACGCCGUANACGAUGAAUGCCAGCCGUUGGGGAGCNNNCUCUUCAGUGGCGCAGCUAACGCUUUAAGCAUUCCG